AGGCCUAACACAUGCAAGUCGAGCGGCAGCGGGAAGUAGUUUACUACUUUGCCGGCGAGCGGCGGACGGGUGAGUAAUGUCUGGGAAACUGCCUGAUGGAGGGGGAUAACUACUGGAAACGGUAGCUAAUACCGCAUAACGUCUUCGAACCAAAGUGGGGGACCUUAGGGCCUCACGCCAUCGGAUGUGCCCAGAUGGCAUUAGCUAGUAGGUGGGGUAAUGGCUCACCUAGGCGACGAUCCCUAGCUGGUCUGAGAGGAUGACCAGCCACACUGGAACUGAGACACGGUCCAGACUCCUACGGGAGGCAGCAGUGGGGAAUAUUGCACAAUGGGCGCAAGCCUGAUGCAGCCAUGCCGCGUGUGUGAAGAAGGCCUUCGGGUUGUAAAGCACUUUCAGCGAGGAGGAAGGCCAAUAACUUAAUACGUUGUUGGAUUGACGUUACUCGCAGAAGAAGCACCGGCUAACUCCGUGCCAGCAGCCGCGGUAAUACGGAGGGUGCAAGCGUUAAUCGGAAUUACUGGGCGUAAAGCGCACGCAGGCGGUUUGUUAAGUCAGAUGUGAAAUCCCCGCGCUUAACGUGGGAACUGCAUUUGAAACUGGCAAGCUAGAGUCUUGUAGAUUGGGGUAGAAUUCCAGGUGUAGCGGUGAAAUGCGUAGAGAUCUGGAGGAAUACCGGUGGCGAAGGCGGCCCCCUGGACAAAGACUGACGCUCAGGUGCGAAAGCGUGGCCGAGCAAACAGGAUUAGAUACCCUGGUAGUCCACGCUGUAAACGAUGUCGACUUGGAGGUUGUGCCCUUGAGGCGUGGCUUCCGGAGCUAACGCGUUAAGUCGACCGCCUGGGGAGUACGGCCGCAAGGUUAAAACUCAAAUGAAUUGACGAGGCCCGCACAAGCGGUGGAGCAUGUGGUUUAAUUCGAUGCAACGCGAAGAACCUUACCUACUCUUGACAUCCACGGAAUUUAGCAGAGAUGCUUUAGUGCCUUCGGGAACCGUGAGACAGGUGCUGCAUGGCUGUCGUCAGCUCGUGUUGUGAAAUGUUGGGUUAAGUCCCGCAACGAGCGCAACCCUUAUCCUUUGUUGCCAGCACGUAAUGGUGGGAACUCAAAGGAGACUGCCGGUGAUAAACCGGAGGAAGGUUUGGAUGACGUCAAGUCAUCAUGGCCCUUACGAGUAGGGCUACACACGUGCUACAAUGGCAGAUACAAAGUGAAGCGAACUCGCGAGAGCAAGCGGACCACAUAAAGUCUGUCGUAGUCCGGAUUGGAGUCUGCAACUCGACUCCAUGAAGUCGGAAUCGCUAGUAAUCGUAGAUCAGAAUGCUACGGUGAAUACGUUCCCGGGCCUUGUACACACCGCCCGUCACACCAUGCGAGUGGGUUGCAAAAGAAGUAGGUAGCUUAACCUUCGGGAGCGCGCUU
RNAcentral lists this ribosomal RNA (1422 nucleotides) under Yersinia enterocolitica. RNAcentral's name for it is "bacterial SSU rRNA". It matches the Rfam family "Bacterial small subunit ribosomal RNA". Lineage: Bacteria; Pseudomonadati; Pseudomonadota; Gammaproteobacteria; Enterobacterales; Yersiniaceae. The record is from RNAcentral.